Molecule: transfer RNA, 57 nt
Filed under: Bahadzia jaraguensis
Lineage: Eukaryota; Metazoa; Arthropoda; Malacostraca; Amphipoda; Hadziidae
Description: transfer RNA Valine
Source: RNAcentral
AAGAAUAGAGUUUUAUAACGUUUCAUUUACGAUGAGAAAAUCCUUUUGGUGUUCUUU